AAACAAAUAGGCCCAGUUUCUGAUAAAUGCAUCCAUGGUUACCAGGUAUGUGACCCUGCUCAAAAGACCUAGAAAGUACCAAGUCUGUAGUUGCAAGGUGGGGACCAAGGCAUACUGAACACAUUUUUUAGCAGCUGGGCAACAACAGAUAUCAGAAAACACCUGCCGUUUAUUUAUAACCUAAGCAGCAUCUCUAUAUACUCCUACCUCCCGGCAUUUAAAGUGAAGAUGUCUCAGGAGCCAUAUCACAUCUGUCCCUUGGGGAGAUCCCAGCUAUGGCACAGCCGUUUGUAUCCUCGGAAGAACGGAAGGAACGAUGGGAACAGGGCCAGGCUGAUUAUAUGGGAGCAGAUUCCUUUGACAACAUCAAGAGGAAACUUGACACUUACCUCCAGUAGAAACACUGCAUUUUUCUGUGAACACAUCCACUUCACAAGCCUUGUUUCUGAUACUUAGUAUCUAGAGCUGGGUUGAGAAAAGUCUGUUACAGUUGCUAGAGGUUUUCAUUAAAACUUAUCAGAUGAGAGGCUUUUUUAGGAUAAGAGGUGAGAACUGGGCAAAAGUUGUGAAGCAGCAAUUCUGUUAUAUGGACAGUGUUCUGCUUUUUAAUCCUAUUUAGCUUGUUUCAGAAAUUCUCACUUUUGUUGACUGCCAACAUAUAAAGUAAGGGAAACUCAAGAUAUUAAGAUGGCUGUAUCAGUUCUUAAAAUCUGCAGAGCCUGGUUCAAAAUCAGUCACUCCCUUCAGAAGCAGACAUGGCAUCUGUUCCUUGCUUGCUUGUUGGUUGUGUACCUUUCACGAGACCUGAAUUU
Molecule: small RNA, 812 nt
Filed under: Pan troglodytes (chimpanzee)
Lineage: Eukaryota; Metazoa; Chordata; Mammalia; Primates; Hominidae
Description: processed transcript
Source: RNAcentral